Molecule: ribosomal RNA, 253 nt
Filed under: uncultured bacterium
Lineage: Bacteria
Description: partial 16S ribosomal RNA
Rfam family: Bacterial small subunit ribosomal RNA
Source: RNAcentral
UACGGAGGGUGCAAGCGUUAUCCGGAUUUACUGGGUUUAAAGGGUGCGUAGGUGGAUAAUUAAGUCAGUGGUGAAAUCUUCAGGCUUAACCUGGAAACUGCCAUUGAUACUAUUUAUCUUGAAUACUUUGGAGGUAAGCGGAAUAUGUCAUGUAGCGGUGAAAUGCUUAGAUAUGACAUAGAACACCAAUUGCGAAGGCAGCUUACUACACAGUAAUUGACACUGAGGCACGAAAGUGUGGGGAUCAAACAGG